AAAGCCAAACCUAAGGCCAUUAAAAUUACACAGGCUGUGCAAGCUAACCUGUCUGACUAUCUGUGCAAAAGAAGCUUGAAGACAUGAAGGACAAGCUACAAGGGUCUAACCUGUGCAAUUUAAAGGCCAUUACACGGCCCAUGCAGUGACUCGAGGCAGUAAAUUCAGACUCAGUUUCUCACGUUUUCUUUCCUUUCUUGGGGGUUUUCUAAGGCUAUUACAACUCCGAAAUAAGGGUCUUUUGUGAGAUAUAAAUACAAGGAGUCUGAGUUUCAGUAGGGAUUGACCUUCUUUACUUUGACCUUCUUUACUUCCAAGAGAGAAAAAUGACUUUAGAGAGAGAGAGAGAGAGA
This 353-nucleotide unclassified non-coding RNA is filed under the name Hevea brasiliensis (rubber tree). The record is from RNAcentral. Lineage: Eukaryota; Viridiplantae; Streptophyta; Magnoliopsida; Malpighiales; Euphorbiaceae.